Molecule: ribosomal RNA, 301 nt
Filed under: uncultured bacterium
Lineage: Bacteria
Description: partial 16S ribosomal RNA
Rfam family: Bacterial small subunit ribosomal RNA
Source: RNAcentral
CAGUAGCCGCGGGAAUACGUAGGUGGCAAGCGUUGUCCGGAAUUAUUGGGCGUAAAGGGCUCGCAGGCGGUUUCUUAAGUCUGAUGUGAAAGCCCCCGGCUCAACCGGGGAGGGUCAUUGGAAACUGGGAAACUUGAGUGCAGAAGAGGAGAGUGGAAUUCCACGUGUAGCGGUGAAAUGCUUAGAGAUGUGGAGGAACACCAGUGGCGAAGGCGACUCUCUGGUCUGUAACUGACGCUGAGGAGCGAAAGCGUGGGGAGCGAACAGGAUUAGAUACCCGAGUAGUCCCUGUCUCUUAUAA